RNAcentral lists this unclassified non-coding RNA (730 nucleotides) under Nilaparvata lugens (brown planthopper). RNAcentral's name for it is "uncharacterized LOC120355779, transcript variant X1". The record is from RNAcentral. Lineage: Eukaryota; Metazoa; Arthropoda; Insecta; Hemiptera; Delphacidae.
GUCUUCAAGAUAAUGUUAUUUUCAUAAAUUUGAAACUUCUUCAUGAGGGAGCUGUGCUGAACUGGAGUUUGAAGAAGGGACUGCCAACAGAUCUUCAAUAUUCAUCUUGCAGCACUUAUACAGAAUGGCUUCACGGGGGCAAAAAAUGUUGGAUAUGAUCAACAAGACAACAGAUUUAGAUGCUUCUACCCAUACAACACGUGGAUCCAAGACCAUCUCUUUCAAGGAUCUUUUCCCGGAUUCCAACUUCACAACCAAAGAAGAGACAGCUGAAAUUGGGAAAUUGAUUGAAAAUGACUUAGGUGAGGUAAUUGUUUUGGAUAACAAUAUUUUCCAACCGGGACCAUCCAACAAUACGGAAGUUUUUGAAAGCAAUGGAACACCAGAUUUGUCAUCAAUAAUGACUGUAGAAUCUAAUGAGACACUCAUCAAUUACCAACCAGGUACAUCUGGUGAUAUUAAUUUAUUGGGUAGUAGCAACUCAACAAAUCCAUCUUCGUUUGAUUCAAUCCAGAAUGGGAUAAUAAUUGUAGAUUCUAUGGAGCACCAAUUGAUAGCAUUAGUUUUGAACCAGGCACCUCUGACAAUAACCCAAUUGAAGGCUUUGUUAGCAAUGAAGCACCAGAUUUAUCUUCAAUCAAUAUAGAGUCCAAUGGGGAACUGAUUAAUGUGAUUGGAGAUCCUGAGGUACAUAUGAAUGAUGUGAGCUUUGAAAGAAAUACAUCUGACU